CAACCCUUACGUCCUGUAGCGUAGUGUUAGGACUCUACUCUUUCGAGAGCAGUUCCCCAAAACCAGUGGCAGUGUUCGGUACACUCAUAGCGUAGUAAUUCUUCUCGCUUCUGCAGUGGCCCGUACGAUUCGCCGUAAAACCCCCCUAUUUUCUAAUGG
RNAcentral lists this unclassified non-coding RNA (159 nucleotides) under uncultured Hypoxylon. RNAcentral's name for it is "sequence contains ITS2". Lineage: Eukaryota; Fungi; Ascomycota; Sordariomycetes; Xylariales; Xylariaceae. The record is from RNAcentral.